GCAAUUGCAAACGUAAUAUGCACUGUAAUCCCAAACAGUUGUACUAGCUCAUAAGUAAUAAGGUCAUAACAGUCAAAUGUCGUUAUGCAGUUGACCAAACUAUAAAGUGUUGAGCUCUGUUGAGAUUUAUGCCACUUUAAUUGAAGAGGGCUCAAUAUUUUAUAGGUAAUUUGUGUGGAACGCUCAAAAAGUUUAGGUAGUGUCAUGACGUAUCGACGUCAUGACGUUCUGGUGGGUGGGUCAUCUCUCCCUCAGGAAAGCUGAGUCAGCCAUCUUGAAUUUGCCUUGAUGCGGGGAUGUUUGGGCCGCCCGUGUGGAUGUGGAACACAGUUUAAUUUGUUUUAAUUUGUUUGCAAUGCGCACUUUUAUGCUGCCCGCUUGAAACCACCACCACCUCCGUUUUUAUCAUUAGUCUUAUUGCCCUCGUUUUCUUAAGCGCCAUCUUAUCAUCACCUCUGAUUUGCGGGUUUCCUGGAUGAACUACAUUUCCCAUAAUGCAUGUUUGCCCGGGACAUUGACGGUGGAGGAAGGUCCAUGAGUUUUCGCUGUUCGCCGGUAAUGCAAGUGCGUACUGCUCAAGUGUGUGGUUGUGAGAUAAUCUCGAAAUCCUUUUAACAGUUCAGAUAUCGGACUACAAAGAGUGCUACAGAGAGCCAGCGUUUCACCAUCAGACAGGUGCUAAUAGGCUGAAGUUGGCCCAAUGGAGUGGAAGUGCAAGUUGUGUUCUGCAACUUCAAAUACCCGGGGACAAUUAUUUUGGCACUAUACUGUACUGCAUAGCCAAUAUUCAAGAGUGUCCCCCCUGCCAUGUCUCUAUGACAGUUGCAUUUGUACUUUUCCAUCAUUCGAAGCGAUGAAAGCUCAUCUGUCAAGAUGUCAUAAUGAUUCAUGUAGAGUAGAUGCAACUGAAGGAGCAUGUGUUUUUUUUACAUGUCCUUUGUGUAACUUCAAGCAGCCCUUUUCUGAGGAAAUUCUAUUGGGUCAUUUGAGAAGUCAUUUACGAAGUCAUGAGAUGGUAGCAUGCCCAUUCAAGAAUUGUAAUUACAGAACAAAUAGCUACUCAGCGUUUAAUGCACACAAAAGUAG
Long non-coding RNA from Coregonus clupeaformis (lake whitefish), 1086 nucleotides. RefSeq lists it as uncharacterized. Lineage: Eukaryota; Metazoa; Chordata; Actinopteri; Salmoniformes; Salmonidae. The record is from RefSeq and is a predicted model, not a curated record. The transcript has 5 exons.